This 2905-nucleotide ribosomal RNA is filed under the name Uliginosibacterium sp. TH139. RNAcentral describes it as "bacterial LSU rRNA". It matches the Rfam family "Bacterial large subunit ribosomal RNA". The record is from RNAcentral. Lineage: Bacteria; Pseudomonadati; Pseudomonadota; Betaproteobacteria; Rhodocyclales; Zoogloeaceae.
GUUAUAGGAUCAAGCGACUAAGUGCACGUGGUGGAUGCCUUGGCGAUUACAGGCGAUGAAGGACGUGCAAGCCUGCGAAAAGCUGCGGGGAGCUGGCAAUGAAGCUUUGAUCCGCAGAUGUCCGAAUGGGGAAACCCACUCCGCAAGGAGUAUCCCUGACUGAAUACAUAGGUCAGUGGAAGCGAACCGGGAGAACUGAAACAUCUAAGUACCCCGAGGAAAAGAAAUCAACCGAGAUUCCCUGAGUAGUGGCGAGCGAACGGGGAAGAGCCUGUACGUGAUAAUUCAAUUGUUAGCAGAACGGUCUGGAAAGUCCGGCGAUAGUGGGUGAUAGCCCCGUAUGCGAAAACAAUUGGAUGGUACUGAGCGUACGACAAGUAGGGCGGGGCACGAGAAACCCUGUCUGAAUAUGGGGGGACCAUCCUCCAAGGCUAAAUACUCGUAAUCGACCGAUAGUGAACCAGUACCGUGAGGGAAAGGCGAAAAGAACCCCGGGAGGGGAGUGAAAUAGAUCCUGAAACCGCGUGCAUACAAACAGUGGGAGCCUCGUAAGGGGUGACUGCGUACCUUUUGUAUAAUGGGUCAGCGACUUACGUUGUGUGGCGAGCUUAACCGAAUAGGGGAGGCGUAGCGAAAGCGAGUCUGAUAAGGGCGAAUCAGUCGCACGGCGUAGACCCGAAACCAGAUGAUCUAUCCAUGGCCAGGAUGAAGGUGCGGUAACACGUACUGGAGGUCCGAACCCACUAACGUUGAAAAGUUAGGGGAUGAGCUGUGGAUAGGGGUGAAAGGCUAAACAAAUCUGGAGAUAGCUGGUUCUCCCCGAAAACUAUUUAGGUAGUGCGUCGUACGGACACUUGCGGGGGUAGAGCACUGUAAUCGUUGAGGGGGUCAUUGCGAUCUACCUCGCGAUAGCAAACUCCGAAUACCGCAAAGUGAUAUACGGCAGACAGACAGUGGGUGCUAACGUCCAUUGUCAAGAGGGAAACAACCCAGACCGCCAGCUAAGGUCCCAAAUGCAUAGUUAAGUGGAAAACGAGGUGGGAAGGCAUAGACAGCUAGGAGGUUGGCUUAGAAGCAGCCACCCUUUAAAGAAAGCGUAAUAGCUCACUAGUCGAGUCGUCCUGCGCGGAAGAUGUAACGGGGCUCAAACUAUGAACCGAAGCUGCGGAUGCGUACUUAGUACGUGUGGUAGGGGAGCGUUCCGUAAGCCUGUGAAGGUGGAUCGAGAGGUCUGCUGGAGGUAUCGGAAGUGCGAAUGCUGACAUGAGUAGCGAUAAAACGAGUGAAAAGCUCGUUCGCCGAAAGCCCAAGGUUUCCUACGCAACGUUCAUCGGCGUAGGGUUAGUCGGCCCCUAAGGCGAGGCAGAAAUGCGUAGUCGAUGGGAAACAGGUGAAUAUUCCUGUACCGAUUCUUGAUGCGAUGGGGGGACGGAGAAGGUUAGGCCAGCCAGGCGUUGGAUGUCCUGGUUCAAGCCCGUAGUCGUGCCCGGUAGGCAAAUCCGCCGGGCUUAGAUGAGAGGUGAUAACGAGUCUGCUUGCAGACGAAGUGGUUGAUACCCUGCUUCCAGGAAAAGCCUCUAAGCUUCAGUCAAGAAUCGACCGUACCGCAAACCGACACAGGUGGGCAGGUUGAAAAUACCAAGGCGCUUGAGAGAACUCAGGAGAAGGAACUCGGCAAAUUGAUACCGUAACUUCGGGAGAAGGUAUGCCUCUGUAGCUUGUAGAUGAACAAUCGAAGGGCGAAGAGGCCGCAGAGAAUCGGUGGCUGCGACUGUUUAUUAAAAACACAGCACUCUGCAAACACGAAAGUGGACGUAUAGGGUGUGACGCCUGCCCGGUGCCGGAAGGUUAAGUGAUGGGGUGCAAGCUCUUGAUCGAAGCCCCGGUAAACGGCGGCCGUAACUAUAACGGUCCUAAGGUAGCGAAAUUCCUUGUCGGGUAAGUUCCGACCUGCACGAAUGGCGUAACGAUGGCCACACUGUCUCCUCCUGAGACUCAGCGAAGUUGAAAUGUUUGUGAAGAUGCAAUCUCCCCGCGGCUAGACGGAAAGACCCCAUGAACCUUUACUGCAGCUUUGCAUUGGACUUUGACGGGACUUGUGUAGGAUAGGUGGGAGGCUAUGAGACCGGGACGCUAGUUCCGGAGGAGCCGUCCUUGAAAUACCACCCUGGUGUCGUUGAGGUUCUAACCUUGGUCCGUGAAUCCGGAUCGGGGACCGUGCAUGGUAGGCAGUUUGACUGGGGCGGUCUCCUCCCAAAGAGUAACGGAGGAGUACGAAGGUCUUCUAGGUACGGUCGGACAUCGUACUGAUAGCGCAAUGGCAAAAGAAGGCUUGACUGCGAGACCCACAAGUCGAGCAGGUGCGAAAGCAGGUCAUAGUGAUCCGGUGGUUCUGUAUGGAAGGGCCAUCGCUCAACGGAUAAAAGGUACUCUGGGGAUAACAGGCUGAUUCCGCCCAAGAGUUCACAUCGACGGCGGAGUUUGGCACCUCGAUGUCGGCUCAUCACAUCCUGGGGCUGUAGCCGGUCCCAAGGGUAUGGCUGUUCGCCAUUUAAAGUGGUACGCGAGCUGGGUUUAAAACGUCGUGAGACAGUUUGGUCCCUAUCUGCCGUGGGCGUUGGAAGUUUGAGGGGGCCUGCUCCUAGUACGAGAGGACCGGAGUGGACGGAUCUCUGGUGUACCGGUUGUGACGCCAGUCGCAUUGCCGGGUAGCUAAAUCCGGAAGAGAUAAACGCUGAAAGCAUCUAAGCGUGAAACUCGCCUCAAGAUGAGACUUCCCUGGGACUUCGAGUCCCCUGAAGGGUCGUUCAAGACCAGGACGUUGAUAGGUCAGGUGUGGAAGCGCAGUAAUGCGUUAAGCUAACUGAUACUAAUUGCCCGUGCGGCUUGAUCCUAUAACCCUGAA